UAAGGAAUAUUGGACAAUGGCCGCAAGGCUGAUCCAGCCAUCCAGCGUGCAGGAAGAAGGCCCUAUGGGUUGUAAACUGCUUUUGUCAGGGAAGAAACCUUGGGAUUUACUCCUGAGCUGACGGUACCUGAAGAAUAAGCACCGGCUAACUCCGUGCCAGCAGCCGCGGUAAUACGGAGGGUGCGAGCGUUAUCCGGAAUUACUGGGUUUAAAGGGUGCGUAGGCGGCCAAGUAAGUCAGGAGUGAAAGUUUGCGGCUCAACCGUAAAAUUGCUUUUGAUACUGCUAGGCUGGAAUUAGGAUGAGGUCAGCGGAAUGUGGCAUGUAGCGGUGAAAUGCAUAGAUAUGCCAUAGAACACCAAUUGCGAAGGCAGCUGGCUAGACCUGGAUUGACGCUGAGGCACGAAAGCGUGGGGAGCGAACAGG
Molecule: ribosomal RNA, 425 nt
Filed under: uncultured bacterium
Lineage: Bacteria
Description: bacterial SSU rRNA
Rfam family: Bacterial small subunit ribosomal RNA
Source: RNAcentral